Chinchilla lanigera (long-tailed chinchilla) is the source of this 3634-nucleotide long non-coding RNA. RefSeq lists it as uncharacterized. The record is from RefSeq and is a predicted model, not a curated record. NCBI's taxonomy places the organism in Eukaryota, Metazoa, Chordata, Mammalia, Rodentia, Chinchillidae. The transcript has 3 exons.
GUUUAAAGCCAGUUGAGGGGACAAGGACAAAAUUUAGCCAACUGCGCACUUAUCAGUACAUGGAAGUAGGGCCAGGUUUAGCCAAAAUGAGAUAACUGCUCUUCUUUCGAGGAGAGUCGUUCAGGUGACCCUCCACAGUGUGUAACACCGAACACCUCCAGCUUCCUAUCUCUCAGAGGAGACAUGAAAGUAACAUAAAUGAGCAAAGCUUUUCAUGGAGAAAAUUAAUUCACCAGGGAAUAAAUGCAUUUGAUUGUCUGGUGAAGCUGUUUUUUUCAAACAGUUCUUCCAAAUCACAGCAAAAGGUUUUAUAAGGUUACACCAAAUGAUAAGACCAAGCCAGGACUCAGAGCCAGACAUGUAAAAGGUUCAGAGGGUGAAUGCUAAUCUUUAAUGUGAGCGUAGCACUUAAUACUAUCCACAGUGUAUGGCUCUGCCUUGGUUCCAGCUCAGAAUCUGACUACCUUCCUCACUGAUUAUUUUGGGAGGCUAAUUAUGCUUCCAAACCCUGCCUUGGACUAAAGUUAUUUUAGAGAUCUGUGCAAGCAGUUCUGUCAGAGCCACUUUACAAGAUCUGCUGGGAAACCUGCCUGCUUACGUUGUAAUGUUACUCUUCAGCAAACAUGACUUUAUCCUUCUUGGGAUUGGACUGCACUGUGGAAGAUUUUAGAUGUUAUCUAAAAUCUCAACACCCUCCCAGGAAGAUUGGCAUCAGUUAAGUUAUCUACGCAAAAGUGCCAGAGUUGGCAAAAACAGCGGCAACAAGAGAACAGGGUGCCCAGUAAAACGUGAAUUUUAGACAAACAACAAAUAUUUUUAAGUGUAAGUAAUUCUCAUGCUUAUAUUAAAUUCACAUUGAACUGGGCACCUGUACUUUGUCUGGCAACCCUACCCAGGUGCUGAAGGUUAUUCUAGAAGCUUUUUUUCAAGGUGUUUCAGAAACUACUUUGUAUAAUGGCAGCAUAACUGUCUCACAGUGGAAUCUCUCAAGAUAACUGUCUUGAAGGGGGUAGCAUUCUUUACAUGUUGAAAUGAUCAGAUGCUGUUUUUUUUUAAGGAAUCACCUUAUCUUGCUGUCAGAUUUCACAAUAGAGCCUUCCCCCAUAAAAACACUGCUUCACAGUUAAUAAGCAUAAAAAGUAUGUGGAUUUCACUAAUGUUCAUUAUUUCUUGACCUGACUCUGAUCUUUUAAGUUAUGAAUAAACAGUUCCUUGUAGCCUUUCCACAAUCAACCUAUGUUUAUUUUAUACGAGCUAGGUCAACUGGUUUUACUCAAAUACCAUAAGGAACAAUGAAUUAAAAAAAUACAAGUUUGUGUUACCACCAUAAGAAACAAAAAGGGAGAUUCCCUACUGAAGACGGGCUUAUGAGGCCUUGGACUUCACUUUGUUUCCCUGACAUUAGCGGGAAAGGUAGAGGUGUGAGAAUAUCUGAGAGAGCCUUUGUUCCUCAAGGCUGGUUAUUUAACCAUUACCUAGUAAUUUCAACCUGUCAUUUCAGAACCCCAGCAGUGAAACACACCAGCACAUACAUGGCUCAUGGAAUUGAGAGGGCUGAGGCUGUGAUGCAUAGCAAGAGAACUGCAUCUCGUGGUUAAAAAGUGAGGUCGGGCUGAGAACUGUUACUGCUUUUGCAAACCUGAAUCAUGGCCUGAGUGAGGAUGGAGAAUAACAGUUCAAAGAAAAUCACAAGCAAAUGAAAUAGAAAAGAGAAGCAAUUACUAACUCCAAGAAAAGCAUGAAGUUACGUGAAUUCUUCAGGCACCUCCCAGCCUCAGUCACUCAUCUUAGAAACACAAAGCGCUCACACAUGCAAACUCGAGUUGGCUCCACUGAAGAUGAAUAGAGCCGGUAACACACAGGCUCAUGUGGCUGGCCUCUGAGCUAUGCAGACUCGCUGAUCAGUGGGCCGCAGAAGCUUGCCCUGAGAUUUUCCGGUGUUCCCCAGGAAACAAAGGUGGUACACAAUGAAAGAGAGAAGUCAGCUCCAACCGGCGCCAGCCCCACACUCCACCCAAACCAGAAGAGCAGGAGCCGAAUGUCACAGAAGGCAUUGUUGUGUUUCUUCCUCCCACCACCUAGACUCAGGGCCUUCUGAGUGUCCCAGGAAGCUUGAGCCAAUGGGAUGCAGAGGCCAGGUCUCUGCACACUACCAAGAAACAGAGCAGUCACUGUGAGUAUGACAGAGUCUGGCACUGGAGAGAAAAUAAUCAUCGAAAGACUCCUGUGGUGAAAACAGUCCCGCCCACUUAGAUUGACUUCCUGACACUUGAGGAUGAUUUUACGUCCUGGCCUGGAGUGAAGAAUAGAAGCUACAGAGAAAAGGGUUGGAGCAACUGAUGUGGGCAAGAAGGAGAAUCAGGGUUCUGGAAAUAGGAAACCCUGACUUUCCAUUUAUGGAAGGUAUACCAAUUCAGAGUCUUACCGACGUUCACGUGGCUGUCAGUACUGGAAUCCAGGUUUCAAAUUUCCAAUAUAAUACUUUUUCAUUUGUGACUUAAAAAAAUAUCUAUCUGUCUAUCUCUCUCUCUCUCUAUAUAUAUAUACCUACAAGCUUUUCAACAAAUGUUUGCAAAUGUUAGUAAAAAAUUCAUAAUCACAACCUUCCAAUAACCAUUGCCAUUUUUGUCUUUCUUCUCAAUGUUUAUUUUCAUAACCUUUACUAUAACCAUAGCCAUUAAACAUGCACGUCUCUGUUCUUCCAAUACAUGUCUUCCUAUGCCAGGAUCUGUCCUAAAUAACCCGAUGUCACUACCCUCAGAGAACUCAUAUUCCAGCGGAGUGGGAGAGGAUACACAAACAAUGUACAAUCUAUUCCCAUUAAUGAGGAUAAUCUGCUUCUCAAACAGGCCCUUUUAGGAUGAACUGUCAUAGGCAGAAAUGUACUUUACAUUAAUUUCAGCAGCAAAACACUUUUUUUUCCUUUUGUGGCCACAAAUUAACACCCACUUUUGUUUAAAAAGCAUCAAUAAUAUUAAAAUAGAUGCAAUUAUCCCACAAGUGAGUAGUUACCCUCAGACCUACGCCUGUCGCCAUGGGUCAUCUAUAUGAUACUCAGAGUAUAUACAUAAUUAGUGCUUAAUAUAAAAAGAAUAGACAAUGAAGACACUGAUGAAAGUUAUGCAUGUGAUUACAUCCUGAGUACUUCAGAGGAGACACUCAAGACUGCCAAGGUGAUGCUUGGUAGCUGUGCUGAAUGUGAUCAAUAGCUUCCUAGGUUCAGGAAAUCCAAACCCACCCUCUUCAGAAAGAACCAUGCCUCAUAGGCCACAGCUGGAGCACAGAUGCGAUCUACACAUUCCCGUCCACAGCAGGGCUGAGCAGUGCCGGGGAAGCUGCAGUGGUGGAAGGAAAGACGACUGGAUAAAGAGCAGGAAGAGCUGGACGUGGGUCGGGCAGGGAGGAGGUGGUUCUGCGUAAGCGCCCUUUUGUAACCUCUGCAGUUCUGCUUUCCUCACUAGGGUUGACAGAUGCCUCCUUGGUGCAUGCAGCUUUCCCUCCUUGUCUCCAAACGCAUUUUCUUUUCUUCUGAAGACUUUCCCAGUUAACCGUCUGCAGCAUUCUUUCAUUUAAAAUAUUUGUCAAAACUUCUGUUUGCUGGAAAUUGGUUUUUCUCUCCUUUCAUCUCUAUUCC